Molecule: transfer RNA, 68 nt
Filed under: Astacopsis gouldi
Lineage: Eukaryota; Metazoa; Arthropoda; Malacostraca; Decapoda; Parastacidae
Description: tRNA-Trp
Source: RNAcentral
AAGAUUUUAAGUUAACAAAACUAACAUCCUUCAAAGUUGUAAAAAAAAGUAAACCCUUUUAAAUCUUA